RNAcentral lists this ribosomal RNA (498 nucleotides) under Glomus sp. Glo8. Its description in RNAcentral is "SSU rRNA". It matches the Rfam family "Eukaryotic small subunit ribosomal RNA", at positions 569 to 1078 of the family's 1831-position model. Lineage: Eukaryota; Fungi; Glomeromycota; Glomeromycetes; Glomerales; Glomeraceae. The record is from RNAcentral.
AGCAGCCGCGGUAAUUCCAGCUCCAAUAGCGUAUAUUAAAGUUGUUGCAGUUAAAAAGCCCGUAGUUGAAUUUCGGGGUUAGUAGGUUGGUCAUGCCUCUGGUAUGUACUGGUCUCACUGAUUCCUCCUUCCUGAUGAGCCGUAAUGCCAUUAAUUUGGUGUUGCGGGGAAUUUGGACUGUUACUUUGAAAAAAUUAGAGUGUUUAAAGCAAGCUAACGCUUGAAUACAUUAGCAUGGAAUAAUGAAAUAGGACGUUCGAUCCUAUUUUGUUGGUUUCUAGGAUUGACGUAAUGAUUAAUAGGGAUAGUUGGGGGCAUUAGUAUUCAAUUGUCAGAGGUGAAAUUCUUGGAUUUAUUGAAGACUAACUACUGCGAAAGCGUUUGCCAAGGAUGUUUUCAUUAAUCAAGAACGAAAGUUAGGGGAUCGAAGACGAUCAGAUCCCGUCGAGCUUAACAUAACUAUGCCACUAGGAUCGAUGAUGUAAUUUUUAUGACUCA